GUAAACAGGAAAACAAACUGUUCCUUGUGUUCCCAUUUCAAAAGAUUCUCAAAAAAAAAAAAGUUUUAUUUUUUCUUGUUAUCAGCAGCUCCAAUUAAUAUGGUGUUUCCUUAAAUAGUUUCUAUUUAUGGAUAAGUAGUCAAUGAUUAGCUUUCUUGGUUUCUUACCUUCAAAGUUUCCAGCUUUAUAGUUUUGAUCUUUGGGCUAUGUGAUUAUUGACUUGAGUUUGUAUUUUGUAUUCUAGGGUUAUUGGGGUGAAAUGAAAGUGCAGUCAACUAAGUGGAAAUGAAGUGAAUUUCAAGUAGAAUUCUGUUUUUAAUGAUUUUUCUGGUAAGGGGUUGGUGAAGUUUAGGUUCAGUUUAUUUUCAUAUCUAUUUCCAGGUAUAUUUGCUUUCAAUUUUAUUAUACACUAGUGUGAAACUGUGUGUAUGUAGAAAUAUGUACAUUUAUGUGUGAGGGGUUAAACAAUAUGUUAGUGAAAAGGCUUAUAGGGAAAUGAAAUAACUUCUUGUUCUGACUAUUACUUUUUAUGAUUCUUGAGUGUGUAUGUAGAAAUAGGUACACUUAUGUGAGGGGUUGAACAGUAUGUUAGUGGAAAGGCUUAGAGGGAAGUGAAAUAACUUGUUGAUCUGACUAUUAUCUUUUGUGAUUCUUGAAUAGCAGAGUGAUUUUUGAAGUUGGAUUGGAGACUAUUAUUUUUAGUGAAAUGGGGAGUAAUUUUAAUUUCAAGAACUUUGGAAAUGAGCCACCUGGGGAGGGUGGAAGUGGUGUUGGUGGAAAGCAGCCUGCGAUAUUUCAGUUGCCGCGACAGCCAUCUAUCUAUUCGUUAACGUUCGAUGAUCACCUAGGGAGGGUGGAAGUGGUGUUGGUGGAAAGCAGCCUGGGAUAUUUCAGUUGCCGCGGCAGCCAUCUAUCUAUUCGUUAACGUUCGAUGAGUUUUUGAGCACGACGGGAGGGAGUGGAAAGGAUUUUGGUUCAAUGAAUAUUGGAUGAGUUGCUAAAGAAUAUAUGGAAUGCUGAGGAAAGUGAAACAAUG
This 1036-nucleotide long non-coding RNA is filed under the name Nicotiana benthamiana. Its description in RNAcentral is "long non-coding RNA (NBEN_LNC005160)". The record is from RNAcentral. Lineage: Eukaryota; Viridiplantae; Streptophyta; Magnoliopsida; Solanales; Solanaceae.